Molecule: ribosomal RNA, 253 nt
Filed under: uncultured bacterium
Lineage: Bacteria
Description: partial 16S ribosomal RNA
Rfam family: Bacterial small subunit ribosomal RNA
Source: RNAcentral
UACGUAGGGGGCUAGCGUUGUCCGGAAUCAUUGGGCGUAAAGAGCGUGUAGGCGGUCCGGUAAGUCCGCUGUGAAAGUCGGGGGCUCAACCCUCGGAUGCCGGUGGAUACUGUCGGGCUUGAGUACGGAAGAGGCGAGUGGAAUUCCUGGUGUAGCGGUGAAAUGCGCAGAUAUCAGGAGGAACACCAAUUGCGAAGGCAGCUCGCUGGGACGUUACUGACGCUGAGACGCGAAAGCGUGGGGAGCAAACAGG